ACCCAGCUGACGAGUCUCAAAUAGGACGAAAUGCGCAUCCUGGAU
This 45-nucleotide non-coding RNA is filed under the name Trichobilharzia regenti. Lineage: Eukaryota; Metazoa; Platyhelminthes; Trematoda; Strigeidida; Schistosomatidae. The record is from RNAcentral.